AUGCUUGAUCUCCAGGCAUUUGAACAAAGAGCCUUUAAUUUUAUUGGCAUAUUUAAUAAGAGCGUUCCAGUCAAGCAUCAAAUGAAUAUCUUAUCCAUCUUUUCCACUUGUUGUGGAACCCUUUAUUUGAGGAGACUAACUGUUCUCAACAAAGCACCAAAGUCACAGAAAAUAACAAGAAAUUCAACAAACAGGGAUAUGUCUGUUUCCACCAAAGUAUUGUAUGGCACUUCAGACAAGAUGGGAACUUGA
Molecule: non-coding RNA, 252 nt
Organism: Vicia faba (fava bean)
Lineage: Eukaryota; Viridiplantae; Streptophyta; Magnoliopsida; Fabales; Fabaceae
Source: the annotation of a GenBank genome assembly